RNAcentral lists this ribosomal RNA (474 nucleotides) under uncultured soil bacterium. RNAcentral's name for it is "bacterial SSU rRNA". It matches the Rfam family "Bacterial small subunit ribosomal RNA", at positions 26 to 518 of the family's 1533-position model. The record is from RNAcentral.
AGGACGAACGCUGGCGGCGUGCUUAACACAUGCAAGUCGAGCGGUAAGGCCUUUCGGGGUACACGAGCGGCGAACGGGUGAGUAACACGUGGGUGAUCUGCCCUGCACUUCGGGAUAAGCCUGGGAAACUGGGUCUAAUACCGGAUAUGACUUCAGGUUGCAUGACUUGGGGUGGAAAGAUUUAUCGGUGCAGGAUGGGCCCGCGGCCUAUCAGCUUGUUGGUGGGGUAAUGGCCUACCAAGGCGACGACGGGUAGCCGACCUGAGAGGGUGACCGGCCACACUGGGACUGAGACACGGCCCAGACUCCUACGGGAGGCAGCAGUGGGAAUAUGCACAAUGGGCGAAAGCCUGAUGCAGCGACGCCGCGUGAGGAUGACGGCCUUCGGGUGUAAACCUCUUUCAGCAGGACGAAGCGACAAGUGACGGUACCUGCAGAAGAAGCACCGGACUAACUACCGUGCCAGCAGCCGAC